UGGGGAAUAUUACACAAUGGAGGAAACUCUGAUGUAGCAACGCCGCGUGGAGGAUGACACAUUUCGGUGCGUAAACUCCUUUUAUAUGGGAAGAUAAUGACGGUACCAUAUGAAUAAGCACCGGCUAACUCCGUGCCAGCAGCCGCGGUAAUACGGAGGGUGCAAGCGUUACUCGGAAUCACUGGGCGUAAAGCGCGCGCAGGCGGUCUUUUAAGUUGGAUGUGAAAUCCUAUGGCUCAACCAUAGAACUGCAUCCAAAACUGAAAGACUAGAGUCUGGGAGGGGAAGAUGGAAUUAGUGGUGUAGGGGUAAAAUCCGUAGAGAUCACUAGGAAUACCAAAAGCGAAGGCGAUCUUCUGGAACAGUACUGACGCUGAGGCGCGAAAGCUAGGGUAGCAAACGG
RNAcentral lists this ribosomal RNA (403 nucleotides) under uncultured bacterium. RNAcentral's name for it is "bacterial SSU rRNA". It matches the Rfam family "Bacterial small subunit ribosomal RNA", at positions 355 to 775 of the family's 1533-position model. The record is from RNAcentral.